Molecule: ribosomal RNA, 843 nt
Filed under: uncultured bacterium
Lineage: Bacteria
Description: bacterial SSU rRNA
Rfam family: Bacterial small subunit ribosomal RNA
Source: RNAcentral
AGAGUUUGAUCCUGGCUCAGAACGAACGCUGGCGGCAGGCCUAACACAUGCAAGUCGAACGAAGCCUUCGGGCUUAGUGGCGGACGGGUUAGUAACGCGUGGGAACGUGCCUUUCACUACGGAAUAGUCCCGGGAAACUGGGUUUAAUACCGUAUACGCCCUUCGGGGGAAAGAAUUUCGGUGAAAGAUCGGCCCGCGUUAGAUUAGAUAGUUGGUGGGGUAAUGGCCCACCAAGUCUACGAUCUAUAGCUGGUUUUAGAGGAUGAUCAGCAACACUGGGACUGAGACACGGCCCAGACUCCUACAGGAGGCAGCAGUGGGGAAUCUUAGACAAUGGGCGCAAGCCUGAUCUAGCCAUGCCGCGUGAGUGAUGAAGGCCCUAGGGUCGUAAAGCUCUUUCGCCAGGGAUGAUAAUGACAGUACCUGGUAAAGAAACCCCGGCUAACUCCGUGCCAGCAGCCGCGGUAAUACGGAGGGGGUUAGCGUUGUUCGGAAUUACUGGGCGUAAAGCGCACGUAGGCGGAUCGGAAAGUUGGGGGUGAAAUCCCGGGGCUCAACCCCGGAACUGCCUCCAAAACUACUGGUCUAGAGUUCGAGAGAGGUGAGUGGAAUUCCGAGUGUAGAGGUGAAAUUCGUAGAUAUUCGGAGGAACACCAGUGGCGAAGGCGGCUCACUGGCUCGAUACUGACGCUGAGGUGCGAAAGUGUGGGAAGCAAACAGGAUUAGAUACCCUGGUAGUCCACACCGUAAACGAUGAAUGCCAGUCGUCGGGCAGUAUACUGUUCGGUGACACACCUAACGGAUUAAGCAUUCCGCCUGGGGAGUACGGUCGCAAGAUUAAAA